GGGUCAGUAGGUUGGUCGUGCCACCGGUACGUACUGGUCUCACUGAUUCCUCCUUCCUGAAGAACCGUAAUGCCAUUAUUUGGUGUUGCGGGGAAACAGGACUGUUACUUUGAAAAAAUUAGAGUGUUUAAAGCAAGCUAACGCUUGAAUACAUUAGCAUGGAAUAAUGAAAUAGGACGAUCGAUCCUAUUUUGUUGGUUUCUAGGAUUGACGUA
This 215-nucleotide ribosomal RNA is filed under the name Glomeromycotina sp. RNAcentral's name for it is "partial small subunit ribosomal RNA". The stretch from base 75 to 215 matches the Rfam family "Eukaryotic small subunit ribosomal RNA", at positions 722 to 864 of the family's 1831-position model. The record is from RNAcentral. Lineage: Eukaryota; Fungi; Glomeromycota.